RNAcentral lists this ribosomal RNA (600 nucleotides) under Hepatozoon sp. RNAcentral describes it as "SSU rRNA". It matches the Rfam family "Eukaryotic small subunit ribosomal RNA", at positions 318 to 911 of the family's 1831-position model. Lineage: Eukaryota; Apicomplexa; Hepatozoidae. The record is from RNAcentral.
GCUUUCGACGGUAUGGUAUUGGCUUACCGUGGCAGUGACGGUUAACGGGGGAUUAGGGUUCGAUUCCGGAGAGGGAGCCUGAGAAACGGCUACCACAUCUAAGGAAGGCAGCAGGCGCGCAAAUUACCCAAUUCUAACAGUUUGAGAGAGGUAGUAACAAGAAAUAACAAUACAAGGCAGUUAAAAUGCUUUGUAAUUGGAAUGAUAGAAAUUUAAACCCUUUUUAAAGUAUCAAUUGGAGGGCAAGUCUGGUGCCAGCAGCCGCGGUAAUUCCAGCUCCAAUAGCGUAUAUUAAAAUUGUUGCAGUUAAAAAGCUCGUAGUUGAAGUUCUGCUGAAAGUAACCGGUCUGCUUUUAAUAAAAGUGGUAUCUUGGUAUGUAUUUAGCAAUGAUGUCCUUUGAAGUGUUUUUUACUUUAUUGUAAUAAAGCAUAUUCAGGACUUUUACUUUGAGAAAAUUAGAGUGUUUCUAGCAGGCUGACGCUUUGAAUACUGCAGCAUGGAAUAAUAAGAUAGGAUUUUAGUUCUACAUUAUUGGUUUUAAGAGCUAAAUUAAUGAUUGAUAGGGACAGUUGGGGGCAUUUGUAUUUAACUGUCAGAGG